This 484-nucleotide ribosomal RNA is filed under the name uncultured bacterium. RNAcentral describes it as "partial 16S ribosomal RNA". It matches the Rfam family "Bacterial small subunit ribosomal RNA", at positions 39 to 507 of the family's 1533-position model. The record is from RNAcentral.
GGGGGGGGGGGGGGGGGGGGGGGGGGGGGGGGGGGCGGGGGGCGGGGGGGGGGGCGGGGUGGGGGCGGGUGGCGGACGGGGGGGUGAUGUAGCGGAGCGGGCCCGGUAGCGGGGGAUAACUACGCGAAAGCGUAGCUAAUACCGCAUACGCCCUACGGGGGAAAGCAGGGGAUCGUAAGACCUUGCACUAUUGGAGCGGCCGAUAUCGGAUUAGCUAGUUGGUGAGGUAACGGCUCACCAAGGCGACGAUCCGUAGCUGGUUUGAGAGGACGACCAGCCACACUGGGACUGAGACACGGCCCAGACUCCUACGGGAGGCAGCAGUGGGGAAUUUUGGACAAUGGGGGCAACCCUGAUCCAGCCAUCCCGCGUGUGCGAUGAAGGCCUUCGGGUUGUAAAGCACUUUUGGCAGGAAAGAAACGUCGCGGGCUAAUACCCCGUGGAACUGACGGUACCUGCAGAAUAAGCACCGGCUAACUACGUG